This is a long non-coding RNA of Diceros bicornis minor, 500 nucleotides long. RefSeq lists it as uncharacterized. The record is from RefSeq and is a predicted model, not a curated record. The transcript is spliced from 3 exons. Lineage: Eukaryota; Metazoa; Chordata; Mammalia; Perissodactyla; Rhinocerotidae.
UAGGCCCAGGGAGAACUCCAAUGGUGUCUGUGUCAGCAUGCCCACACCAGGCCACAACAAUGGCCGCCGCCAAUGUCCCAGUCCCUGGAGAGGUGUCACCUCUCACCAAGAUGCACGCAGGGCCUAUUAGGUAAUAAAGGGCAGACAGAUAUUCAGCCACAUCAAAGGAGAGAUGUGAAGCCUACAUCAUGACCCAGGAACAGAACGAUGCCAUCCAGCCUUAUACUCCUGAGAAUGGUUAUUGAAUGAUUGUUUGGAAUUUCUGUUCUUGGCAACACUAUGAUGCCUCGGCAGAUUUGAGUGCAAAGUUUGCAAGUUCCAUUUCAAUCCAGUUGAGCAAGAACCGAGCACUGGAAGUGGAAGCCUUAAAGGAUUCUCCGAUGACUUACUCCUGUAAUCAUAGGCUGAAUUUGGUGAGAUGUGCAACUCUGGCUCACUGAAGAAGAAUCAACUUCUGGAAGGUAAGAUAUGAAAUUCCUCCAAAAAGGAACAUAAAGGUU